AUCCCAUCUUUCCGUCUUUAUCUCUCUAAAAAUCGCCAAUUUCCCCUCUCUCUCUCUCUCUAAAAUAUUGUUUAUUAUUUAUUUAAUAAAUAAUAAUAAGGUUCUGCCCCGUUUUAAGUGUUAUAACUCCCAAUCACCGCUACCCUUUCCGAUUGAUCUGAGCCCCAUAACGCAUGUCAAGGCUCUGCCCGACUAAGUUCGUUUGGGUUCUGUCUCGGGACAUCGGGACAAGGUUGAAUUAGGGGUAUUAUACUUAACACGAGUGCAUUAUAUAUUUUUAGUAGCCCAAACGUUAUACCCAAAAUUUAUACCAGGAGUCCUUCUAGUUGAACCCUAAAGUUACCCAGUGGGUCCAUUCCUUUCUCUCACCAUUUUAUUCUCUUUUUGUAAGUUACCCAAAACUAUUAUUUAUUAUUUAUUAUUUCUAUUUUGUAAACAAACUUUCAUCAAAAGUCAUGCCUAUUAUUUUAUUUACCCAAUAGGGAACCAUAGUUGAAACACCCAAGUAAUCCUGCACAACUCCUAAAAUUUUCAUAACAAUCAGAAUCAGGAUUAGGGCCCCUAAAACUCAGAGGGGGACAAUUCCCAUUCGAUAUUAUCUCCAAAUCUCGUUGUCAAAAUUAAAAUUUAUUAUUCUGUCAACUCAGCAGAGCUACCCCGAAACGUGUUCACCCUACCCUACUUUUGUUACCCGUCGCGCCACGCGACAGGAUCAGUAGUCCCUGUCGCGACACGCGAGGGAGUACAUUUUCCGGAUAUAAAUAGGGGGCAGUGGCACUUGAAUUUUGCUGGAAGUUCGACGUUAAAACUCGAAUUAUACACUGAGUUAUAGCAGAAAUCGUUCACACACCCACUAAUAUCGAAUCGCUGCCGCAGAACAGGGUAAUUACUCGAUCGCUAUUACGAUUCAUUUUCCGGAAUCAAUAUAUCCAAAGAAUGUCUAAGUGCCGCCCAUAUUGGGUUAUGCUUUGUCGUUUGUCGAUAAUUCGAUAAAUGAGUUGAAGCAUUAUACUUUGUCGUUUGUCGAUAAUUCGAUAAAUGAGUUGAAGUAUUAUACUUUGUCGUUUGUCGUUAAUACGAUAAAUGAGUUGAAGUAUUGCACUUUGUCAUUCAUUGUGAGAAUUUGAUCUCGUGAGUUAUCGUAAAAGCUGUAUUGAUCAUUAACCCGGCUUUGUGUGCAUCCUUUCCUAAAUUAGGAUUAUUAGUCUUAAUACACUUACAAUCAAAGUAGAUGCUAAUUCUCAGAAGAAUCUGAACCAUGAAGCUUGUUAAUUCAAAUACUGCAUGCUGAUUUCCGGUAUGUGGGGUAUUGUGCACAGUAUUACUAUUGUUUUAAUCACAUUAGGUGGGCGAGCCUAAAAGUAAGUGAUAUACGUCACUCAUUGGGACAGCCAAUGGUGAUAUGACCACAGUCACAGAGCUGGUCUGUGACAAAUACCUAUUCUUGAAAGUUGGUUGAUAAUAAACAUAUGUAAAAACCCUUAAUACUGUAAAUUAUAACAAAUGUGUCGUUUUCAGUAAAAUGAAUGAACUCACUCAGUAUUUCCCGCUGAUAAAAUCUUUUUAAAACGCGUUUCAGGUAAUUACAGUAGAUUGGAGUAAGGAUUGGAUCCGACACUGAAGGACUUCAAGAAGUGGCUUAUUUUCAAAUUAAGAAAUAUAGUUUUUAUUAAAAGCUACAUUUGUAAAACAUGGAAUUUAUUCCAUCCAUUUAAAUAAAAUCCGGUGU
Molecule: long non-coding RNA, 1729 nt
Filed under: Helianthus annuus (common sunflower)
Lineage: Eukaryota; Viridiplantae; Streptophyta; Magnoliopsida; Asterales; Asteraceae
Description: hypothetical non coding rna
Source: RNAcentral